UACGUAGGGUGCAAGCGUUACUCGGAAUUACUGGGCGUAAAGCGUGCGCAGGCGGUUGUGCAAGACAGGUGUGAAAUCCCCGGGCUUAACCUGGGAACUGCAUUUGUGACUGCACGGCUAGAGUGUGUCAGAGGGGGGUAGAACUCCACGUGUAGCAGUGAAAUGCGUAGAGAUGUGGAGGAAUACCGAUGGCGAAGGCAGCCCCCUGGGAUAACACUGACGCUCAUGCACGAAAGCGUGGGGAGCAAACAGG
RNAcentral lists this ribosomal RNA (253 nucleotides) under uncultured bacterium. RNAcentral describes it as "partial 16S ribosomal RNA". It matches the Rfam family "Bacterial small subunit ribosomal RNA", at positions 524 to 776 of the family's 1533-position model. The record is from RNAcentral.